Molecule: ribosomal RNA, 478 nt
Filed under: uncultured bacterium
Lineage: Bacteria
Description: partial 16S ribosomal RNA
Rfam family: Bacterial small subunit ribosomal RNA
Source: RNAcentral
GACGAACGCUGGUGGCGUGCUUAACACAUGCAAGUCGAACGGGAUUUAGUAAACAGAAGCCUCGGUGGAAGAUUACUAAUGAGAGUGGCGAACGGGUGAGUAACGCGUGAGCAACCUGCCUAUGACAGUGGGAUAGCCUCGGGAAACCGGGAUUAAUACCGCAUAAAAUCGUAGAAACACAUGUUUUAACGGUCAAAGAUUUAUCGGUCAUAGAUGGGCUCGCGUCUGAUUAGCUAGUUGGUGAGAUAACAGCCCACCAAGGCGACGAUCAGUAGCCGGUCUGAGAGGAUGAACGGCCACAGUGGAACUGAGACACGGUCCAAACUCCUACGGGAGGCAGCAGUGGGGAAUAUUGCACAAUGGGGGAAACCCUGAUGCAGCGACGCCGCGUGAACGAAGAAGGUAUUCGUAUCGUAAAGUUCUGUCCUAUGGGAAGAUAAUGACAGUACCAGAGAAGAAAGCUCCGGCUAAAUACGUG